GUCCACGCCAUAAACGAUGAGAACUGGAUGUCGGGAGGGUCUGCCUCUCGGUGUCGUAGCUAACGCGUUAAGUUCUCCGCCUGGGGAGUACGGCCGCAAGGUUGAAACUCAAAUGAAUUGACGGGGACCCGCACAAGCGGUGGAGCAUGUGGUUUAAUUCGAUGCAACGCGAAGAACCUUACCUGGUCUUGACAUGUCAGAAAUCUUGCAGAGAUGUGAGAGUGCCUUCGGGAAUCUGAACACAGGUGCUGCAUGGCUGUCGU
This 263-nucleotide ribosomal RNA is filed under the name uncultured bacterium. Its description in RNAcentral is "partial 16S ribosomal RNA". It matches the Rfam family "Bacterial small subunit ribosomal RNA", at positions 793 to 1055 of the family's 1533-position model. The record is from RNAcentral.